This 156-nucleotide unclassified non-coding RNA is filed under the name uncultured Talaromyces. Its description in RNAcentral is "sequence contains ITS2". Lineage: Eukaryota; Fungi; Ascomycota; Eurotiomycetes; Eurotiales; Trichocomaceae. The record is from RNAcentral.
CUGCCCUCAAGCACGGCUUGUGUGUUGGGUGCGGUCCCCCUGGGGGGCCUGCCCGAAAGGCAGCGGCGACGUCCGUCUGGUCCUCGAGCGUAUGGGGCUCUGUCACUCGCUCGGGACGGACCUGCGGGGGUUGGUCACCACCAUGUUUAUCACCAC